RNAcentral lists this ribosomal RNA (645 nucleotides) under uncultured Actinomycetes bacterium. Its description in RNAcentral is "bacterial SSU rRNA". It matches the Rfam family "Bacterial small subunit ribosomal RNA", at positions 232 to 885 of the family's 1533-position model. Lineage: Bacteria; Bacillati; Actinomycetota; Actinomycetes. The record is from RNAcentral.
CGCGGCCUAUCAGCUUGUUGGUGAGGUAACGGCUCACCAAGGCUCCGACGGGUAGCUGGUCUGAGAGGACGAUCAGCCACACUGGGACUGAGACACGGCCCAGACUCCUACGGGAGGCAGCAGCAGGGAAUUUUGCACAAUGGGCGCAAGCCUGAUGCAGCGACGCCGCGUGCGGGAUGAAGGCCUUCGGGUUGUAAACCGCUUUCAGGAGGGACGAAGCGAGAGUGACGGUACCUCCAGAAGAAGCCCCGGCCAACUACGUGCCAGCAGCCGCGGUAAUACGUAGGGGGCGAACGUUGUCCGGAUUUAUUGGGCGUAAAGAGCUCGUAGGCGGCUCAGCAAGUCGGCCGUGAAAACCCGGGGCUCAACCCCGGGACGCCGGUCGAAACUGCUGUGGCUAGGGUCCGGUAGAGGAGAGUGGAAUUCCCGGUGUAGCGGUGAAAUGCGCAGAUAUCGGGAGGAACACCAGUAGCGAAGGCGGCUCUCUGGGCCGGUACCGACGCUGAGGAGCGAAAGCUAGGGGAGCAAACAGGAUUAGAUACCCUGGUAGUCCUAGCCGUAAACGUUGGGCACUAGGUGUGGCGGACUCAUUGACGUCUGCCGUGCCGCAGCUAACGCAUUAAGUGCCCCGCCUGGGGAGUACGG